RNAcentral lists this ribosomal RNA (253 nucleotides) under uncultured bacterium. Its description in RNAcentral is "partial 16S ribosomal RNA". It matches the Rfam family "Bacterial small subunit ribosomal RNA", at positions 524 to 776 of the family's 1533-position model. The record is from RNAcentral.
UACAGAGGGUGCGAGCGUUGUCCGGAAUCACUGGGCGUAAAGGGCGCGUAGGCGGCUUGAUAAGCGUGCGGUGAAAUCCCGGGGCUCAACCCCGGAACUGCCUUUAAUACUGGCAAUCUCGAGUCCGAGAGAGGUGAGUGGAAUUCCGAGUGUAGAGGUGAAAUUCGUAGAUAUUCGGAGGAACACCAGUGGCGAAGGCGGCUCACUGGCUCGGUACUGACGCUGAGGUGCGAAAGCGUGGGGAGCAAACAGG